RNAcentral lists this long non-coding RNA (514 nucleotides) under Homo sapiens (human). RNAcentral describes it as "HSALNT0392269". The record is from RNAcentral. Lineage: Eukaryota; Metazoa; Chordata; Mammalia; Primates; Hominidae.
AAAGUAAAGAUAACACUUACUCCUCCAAGAAAUUGAUUUCAGCUAAGCAAAACAUUGAUACAGGGCUAUAAUGGAAGUGUUGGACUCAUAAACGUUUUAUGAAAUCAGUGUGUGUGUAUUACAGAAAUCAGAAAUGAGAAGUAAGAACAUGUCUGGGAGAGUGUGACAUAAGAAAAAUAACUUGUAGGCGUAUUUAACAGACAGCAGCAGUUCUCAGGAUUCCCCAUGUUAGAGCCUUCCUUCCUGUCCUCUGAGAAAUGAAAAUGAAAUCCAAAGACCCCCAACUGACUACACGAACCCCCUACUGGCUAAGGAGAUCCCAGGGUUGCCUUGAAGGCAGUUCUCAGCCAUGACAGAUGGGAGUUUCGGCCCAAUUGACCAGUAUUCCUUACUGAUAAGAGACACUGACCAUGGAGUGGUUCUGGUGAGAUGACAUGACCCUCGUGAAGGGGCCUGAAGCUUCAUUGUGUUUGUUCUCCCUCUGUUGCCGAGGCUGGACUGUACUGCCGUGAUC